ACAUGCCAUUUUCUUGUGUGAUGA
RNAcentral lists this non-coding RNA (24 nucleotides) under Arabidopsis thaliana (thale cress). Lineage: Eukaryota; Viridiplantae; Streptophyta; Magnoliopsida; Brassicales; Brassicaceae. The record is from RNAcentral.